CACGUAGGAGGCGAGCGUUAUCCGGAUUUACUGGGCGUAAAGCGCGUGUAGGCGGCUCGGAAAGUUGGAUGUGAAAGCUCCUGGCUUAACUGGGAGAGGUCGUUCAAAACUUCCGGGCUUGAGAGUGGUAGAGGGAGGUGGAAUUCCGAGUGUAGUGGUGAAAUGCGUAGAUAUUCGGAGGAACACCAGUGGCGAAAGCGGCCUCCUGGCCCAUUUCUGACGCUCAGACGCGAAAGCUAGGGUAGCAAACGGGAUUAGAGACCCCGGUAGUCCUAGCUGUAAACGAUGUAGACUUGGCGUCGGCGGGUUCAAAUCCGUCGGUGCCGAAGCAAACGCGAUAAGUCUACCGCCUGGGGACUACGGCCGCAAGGUUAAA
This 376-nucleotide ribosomal RNA is filed under the name uncultured bacterium. RNAcentral's name for it is "bacterial SSU rRNA". It matches the Rfam family "Bacterial small subunit ribosomal RNA", at positions 524 to 898 of the family's 1533-position model. The record is from RNAcentral.